CUCACACCAUCAUGAUCCUGAUAAACUCAACGGCUGCAAUGAAUACAACUGCUGCACCCAUUAGUUCCCAGCAAAUAGGAGAGAAAUUAAUUACAGUUACUAACAACAUGGCUGUUCCAGAAAAGCCUUUCCCCCCUUUUGGGAAAGUUUUGUUUCGCAUGAUUCAAAUUAGUAAUGAUUCUUCUAGGAAGAUCAUAGACAAGUUCCAACAAGUUGGACAAACUUAUCAAGAGUUAACUAGAAGAAAAAGAGAAGCUAACAUUGAGCAAGAAGUGAAAGAAAUUAUAAAAUGGUUACAAAAGUUUCCAUAUUAUUCUGAGGGGCCAUAAAUAUAGAGUUUAAACUUUAUUAUGACAAAGAUAAACGAUGGAUGCAUGCCUGGUGCCCACAAAUCUGGCAGUAUAGCUGCAGUUUUUUUAAACUAUUGUUUGCAGCUGAGAACUGUUUCCUAGACUGUAUGUUUAGCUUUCCUCUUUGCAAGGGACAUUGGUGUGGUAAUGAAUAAGAGCUGGAUGACUGCCAAUUAUGAUGUACCUGUUGUAACUGCUUAAACAUACGCCAAGAAGUAAAGCUUAUUGCAGCAGUGCACACCUCAA
Molecule: long non-coding RNA, 596 nt
Filed under: Rattus norvegicus (Norway rat)
Lineage: Eukaryota; Metazoa; Chordata; Mammalia; Rodentia; Muridae
Description: long non-coding RNA NONRATT029785
Source: RNAcentral